RNAcentral lists this ribosomal RNA (492 nucleotides) under uncultured bacterium. Its description in RNAcentral is "partial 16S ribosomal RNA". It matches the Rfam family "Bacterial small subunit ribosomal RNA", at positions 29 to 507 of the family's 1533-position model. The record is from RNAcentral.
AGUGAACGCUGGCGGUAGGCCUAACACAUGCAAGUCGAACGGCAGCACAGUAAGAGCUUGCUCUUACGGGUGGCGAGUGGAGGACGGGUGAGGAAUACAGCGGAAUCUACUUUUUCGUGGGGGAUAACGUAGGGAAACUUACGCUAAUACCGCAUACGACCUACGGGUGAAAGCAGGGGAUCUUCGGACCUUGCGCGAUUGAAUGAGCCGAUGUCGGAUUAGCUAGUUGGCGGGGUAAAGGCCCACCAAGGCGACGAUCCGUAGCUGGUCUGAGAGGAUGAUCAGCCACACUGGAACUGAGACACGGUCCAGACUCCUACGGGAGGCAGCAGUGGGGAAUAUUGGACAAUGGGCGCAAGCCUGAUCCAGCCAUACCGCGUGGGUGAAGAAGGCCUUCGGGUUGUAAAGCCCUUUUGUUGGGAAAGAAAAGCAGCAGGUUAAUACCCCGCUGUUCUGACGGUACCCAAAGAAUAAGCACCGGCUAACUUCGUG